Molecule: transfer RNA, 65 nt
Filed under: Vespa affinis (lesser banded hornet)
Lineage: Eukaryota; Metazoa; Arthropoda; Insecta; Hymenoptera; Vespidae
Description: tRNA-Thr
Source: RNAcentral
AGCUUAAUAGUUUAAUAAAACAUAAAUUUUGUAAAUUUAAAUUAAAUAUAAUCAUUUUUAAGCUU